CUCGACUACAUGAAGCUGGAAUCGCUAGUAAUCGCAGAUCAGAAUGCUGCGGUGAAUACGUUCCCGGGUCUUGUACACACCGCCCGUCACACCAUGGGAGCCGGAAAUGCCCGAAGCCAGUGACCCAACUGCAAAGAGGGAGCUGUCGAAGGCAGGUCUGAUAACUGGGGUGAAGUCGUAACAAGGUACC
Molecule: ribosomal RNA, 190 nt
Filed under: uncultured bacterium
Lineage: Bacteria
Description: partial 16S ribosomal RNA
Rfam family: Bacterial small subunit ribosomal RNA
Source: RNAcentral